This 253-nucleotide ribosomal RNA is filed under the name uncultured bacterium. RNAcentral's name for it is "partial 16S ribosomal RNA". It matches the Rfam family "Bacterial small subunit ribosomal RNA", at positions 524 to 776 of the family's 1533-position model. The record is from RNAcentral.
UACGUAGGGGGCAAGCGUUGUCCGGAAUCAUUGGGCGUAAAGAGCGUGUAGGCGGCCCGAUAAGUCCGCUGUGAAAGUCCAGGGCUCAACCCUGGGAUGCCGGUGGAUACUGUCGGGCUCGAGUCCGGAAGAGGAGUGUGGAAUUCCUGGUGUAGUGGUGAAAUGCGCAGAUAUCAGGAGGAACACCAAUGGCGAAGGCAGCACUCUGGGACGUGACUGACGCUGAGACGCGAAAGCGUGGGGAGCAAACAGG